CUUUGCAUCUUCUCACUGAUGUCUUUUUCUUUCUUGCGUUGGAGUUCUUCUUCCUGAACUUUUCUUUUAGUCUCCUCAUCACUCUGUUCCAAUUGAAGUACCAUCACUUUCGCAUUGUGUGUUACACCUUGAUCUUCAAGGGUUUUUCCCAGGUCGAGCUGCUUCUUAUUUAUGAUUAUUUUGAUAGCAUUUUCUUGUAAUGCAUGCUCUUGUGCUAUCUGUGAUCUGAGCUCCUUGCCAGUGAUGAACAAGCUAGUUUCCAGUGGGACUUUUCUGCUUUUUCUCCGAGGCAGAUGUAUAUCAAGUCUUGCAAUCCCAGUCACUUUAUAGUUUUCAUUUCCUGUUCCACGCUCAAUUGCUUUACACCGUAUUUCUUCCAGCAUAUUCUCUGCAUCAUUCUCAUUGAUUUUCAGCUUGGAUGAAUAUUUUUGUACAAGCUCCUUCAUUUCUUCUCCAGCUUCUUUUU
RNAcentral lists this long non-coding RNA (466 nucleotides) under Gallus gallus (chicken). Lineage: Eukaryota; Metazoa; Chordata; Aves; Galliformes; Phasianidae. The record is from RNAcentral.